Molecule: ribosomal RNA, 301 nt
Filed under: uncultured bacterium
Lineage: Bacteria
Description: partial 16S ribosomal RNA
Rfam family: Bacterial small subunit ribosomal RNA
Source: RNAcentral
CAGCAGCCGCGGGAAUACGUAGGGUGCGAGCGUUAAUCGGAAUUACUGGGCGUAAAGCGUGCGCAGGCGGUUGUGUAAGACAGGUGUGAAAUCCCCGGGCUUAACCUGGGAACUGCGCUUGUGACUGCACAGCUAGAGUAUGGCAGAGGGGGGUGGAAUUCCACGUGUAGCAGUGAAAUGCGUAGAGAUGUGGAGGAACACCGAUGGCGAAGGCAGCCCCCUGGGCCAAUACUGACGCUCAUGCAUGAAAGCGUGGGGAGCAAACAGGAUUAGAUACCCGCGUAGUCCCUGUCUCUUAUAC